RNAcentral lists this ribosomal RNA (254 nucleotides) under uncultured bacterium. Its description in RNAcentral is "partial 16S ribosomal RNA". It matches the Rfam family "Bacterial small subunit ribosomal RNA", at positions 524 to 776 of the family's 1533-position model. The record is from RNAcentral.
GACGUAGGGCGCGAGCGUUGUCCGGAUUUAUUGGGCGUAAAGAGCUCGUAGGCGGCUUGUCGCGUCAACUGUGAAAACCCGUGGCUCAACCAUGUGGUCUGCAGUCGAUACGAGCAGGCUAGAAUUCGGUAGGGGAGACUGGAAUUCCUGGUGUAGCGGUGGAAUGCGCAGAUAUCAGGAGGAACACCAAUAGCGAAGGCAGCUCGCUGGGACGGUACUGACGCUAAGGCGCGAAAGCGUGGGGAGCGAACAGG